This 1094-nucleotide long non-coding RNA is filed under the name Mytilus galloprovincialis (Mediterranean mussel). The record is from RNAcentral. Lineage: Eukaryota; Metazoa; Mollusca; Bivalvia; Mytilida; Mytilidae.
AUUUUAAUAAUAUUUUUUUUCGACUAUUCCAACCUUUGAAACAUCCUGUUUCCCACCAUAACCUAAUACAAAACCUGUAUUUUAAUGAUCACAAAAAGGAGAUGUGAAUAAAAAUGCACCUUAUUUAUUAAAGCAUUAGUAAAACUUGUUAAGAAAAGUGGUCACCAGAAAAUGACACGCGAAAAUAACAUUUACCCUAUAACAACGUCCAAUCAUUCAUCUGAAAUAAUUUCCAUAAAUAUCAAAGGCAUAUAAGAGGGGUGAGAUAGUUUUUCUUCUUCUAAUAAAUGCCCCUAAAACAGCCAUCUUCGCGUAAAUGAACACGAACAAUGAAAUUGUAAAAAUUUCUAAGUUACAAGUCCAGUUAUGCAAACGUAACAAAGGAACACAAACAAAAAGUAAAAGUAAAAAAACAAGAAUGAACAAUAUAAAAAAAGCCAAUUAAUUUGAACAAUUAAAUGUAACAAACAAACACCAAAAAAAUAAAUAGCGACAGUUCAACUCAAACAUUAUCAACAAACAUGAACCAACCAAAAGUACUGAUGUCAUUUAUAUCUGACAAACAAUAAAGAACCAACCAUAAAUGCUGAUACCACUUAUAUUUGACAAACAAACAAAAAAGACAAAUACAAGGCAACUGUAAUGUAACAAACGAUAAAUACAAGGCAACUCAAUGCAACAGAUGCAAACAAUAAAAAUAGGCAAUUCAAACGUAUCUAAGAAACAAACAUUACUGAUGCUGAAAUUGUAAAUGAAUUAACAUUGGGGAUACAGAUUUGGGAAACUUGUAUCCAGCCAUUUAGGAGCCAUUCGUUGUAUUACUUUAAAGAAAUUAAUAUAUACAAAGGGGAUCUCAUUACACUUGGCAGACCAUUCAAUAUCCUGUUGUUAGUAGGUAGAGAGACUAGUACAUUUUUAUCAAAUUUGCCGAGGUUGGUAAUCGUUGUCAUAAUUAGCAAGUUGUGACAAGGCAAAAAGAAGAAUAGAUUGAAAUUUUGGAUGACAAGAGAUUUGAUUAAUUCCUCCUUGUGUAUAGGUGUAUGCAUUUCAGUACGAUUUAAAGUCUGCCGUCUACGUUUUUAUUUGUACCAGGC